GAUGAACGCUGGCGGCGUGCCUAAUACAUGCAAGUCGUGCGAACAGACGAGGAGCUUGCUCCUCUGACGUUAGCGGCGGACGGGUGAGUAACACGUGGAUAACCUACCUAUAAGACUGGGAUAACUUCGGGAAACCGGAGCUAAUACCGGAUAAUAUAUUGAACCGCAUGGUUCAAUAGUGAAAGACGGUUUUGCUGUCACUUAUAGAUGGAUCCGCGCCGCAUUAGCUAGUUGGUAAGGUAACGGCUUACCAAGGCAACGAUGCGUAGCCGACCUGAGAGGGUGAUCGGCCACACUGGUACUGAGACACGGUCCAGACUCCUACGGGAGGCAGCAGUAGGGAAUCUUCCGCAAUGGGCGAAAGCCUGACGGAGCAACGCCGCGUGAGUGAUGAAGGUCUUCGGAUCGUAAAACUCUGUUAUUAGGGAAGAACAAAUGUGUAAGUAACUAUGCACGUCUUGACGGUACCUAAUCAGAAAGCCACGGCUAACUACGUG
RNAcentral lists this ribosomal RNA (497 nucleotides) under uncultured bacterium. RNAcentral describes it as "partial 16S ribosomal RNA". It matches the Rfam family "Bacterial small subunit ribosomal RNA", at positions 28 to 507 of the family's 1533-position model. The record is from RNAcentral.